UCAAUCACUUUGUCUCUGUUUACAUUAGUUAAUGCACAAUGAACAUUAUCAAAUAUUAUUAAUGUUGUAAAAUAUAUUGUUCAUUGUUAGUUCAUAUUAGCUAAGGCAUUACCAAAUGUUAAGGAAUAAACUCUUAUAGUAAAGUGUUACUAAAUUUUCUUUUACCAUUUCCUUCACAAUGUCUAUUUAUUUCUAUGGCUAACAGAUUUUGUAACAUUUGUCUUUUUUACAGUCUUACCAUUGCUUGUAAGCUGGAUUGGGUAAGAUGGAUCAUCUUUAAAGGCACCAGGAGUUAAGGCAGAUGUGGAGGCACAACGGGUGAUACCAGACACACACCAAGCACAUUAUGUUCGGACAUUCAAUCAUGACAGGAUCCAGGUGGAUGCCGUCCAUUGAGGAAAGAGUUUGUUCAGCGGUUUCUGGAUAGAAUUAAUUCCAAAGAUGGGAAAAAGUGCACAUCCAGACAAGGAGCAAGCAAAAAGACAAGGAACUUGGUGCAGAGAAAAGCUGUGGCCAUUAACCCCCAUGUGAACAGCUUCAUGCAGUCCCUGAUUGAGUUCGAAUGGACGACUUCAAAGUAAAGGCCACUGUGGUCUGUCUGCCACAGUUUAAUGCAUUUAUUUUUAGUGUUAAAUGAAAUUCAAGUAGAAUAUUUAAAACUAUGGGCCAGUGUUGUUUUUACCACAGUGAAAUGUUACCUUUUAGUCGAUGAUGGACUUUAAACUGAAAACUUCAAACUAUGGAACAGUGUUCUAUUUGCCAGAGUUAAAUAUGUUACAGCAGGGGUCUCCAAACUUGUUUAUACUUGUUGAUUUUAUUUUAUGUUACUUGAUUAUAUGUUUAUUAUUGUUUAAAAUCUUGUUUUAAAUAUGUUUGUUUCAAUUAAAUGUUUUUUUAAAUAAAAUUUUGAUACAAACAUUGCUUGGAUUGCCUUUUAAUUCAUUAUGUUUUAAUUUAGCAUUUUUACCAUAUUAAUAACUAUAGAUUUAAACCUAAAUCUCUAGCUAUUUUAUAUAAUAUUAUUGUAUUAAUUGUAAUAAGUAAUAAAUAGUAUUUAUGGGUCAAUAUAGACAUUACAGUAAAUUACUGU
This is a long non-coding RNA of Paramisgurnus dabryanus, 1090 nucleotides long. RefSeq lists it as uncharacterized. The record is from RefSeq and is a predicted model, not a curated record. NCBI's taxonomy places the organism in Eukaryota, Metazoa, Chordata, Actinopteri, Cypriniformes, Cobitidae.